Molecule: ribosomal RNA, 895 nt
Filed under: uncultured Actinomycetes bacterium
Lineage: Bacteria; Bacillati; Actinomycetota; Actinomycetes
Description: bacterial SSU rRNA
Rfam family: Bacterial small subunit ribosomal RNA
Source: RNAcentral
AGAGUUUGAUCCUGGCUCAGGACGAACGCUGGCGGCGUGCUUAACACAUGCAAGUCGAACGGUAAGGCCCCUUCGGGGGUACACGAGUGGCGAACGGGUGAGUAACACGUGGGUGAUCUGCCCUGCACUUCGGGAUAAGCCUGGGAAACUGGGUCUAAUACCGGAUAGGACCACGCUCUGCAUGGAGUGUGGUGGAAAGCUUUUGCGGUGUGGGAUGGGCCCGCGGCCUAUCAGCUUGUUGGUGGGGUGAUGGCCUACCAAGGCGACGACGGGUAGCCGGCCUGAGAGGGUGUCCGGCCACACUGGGACUGAGAUACGGCCCAGACUCCUACGGGAGGCAGCAGUGGGGAAUAUUGCACAAUGGGCGCAAGCCUGAUGCAGCGACGCCGCGUGGGGGAUGACGGCCUUCGGGUUGUAAACCUCUUUCAGUACCGACGAAGCGCAAGUGACGGUAGGUACAGAAGAAGCACCGGCCAACUACGUGCCAGCAGCCGCGGUAAUACGUAGGGUGCAAGCGUUGUCCGGAAUUACUGGGCGUAAGGAGCUCGUAGGUGGUUUGUCGCGUUGUUCGUGAAAACCCACGGCUUAACCGUGGGCGUGCGGGCGAUACGGGCAGACUGGAGUACUGCAGGGGAGACUGGAAUUCCUGGUGUAGCGGUGGAAUGCGCAGAUAUCAGGAGGAACACCGGUGGCGAAGGCGGGUCUCUGGGCAGUAACUGACGCUGAGGAGCGAAAGCGUGGGGAGCGAACAGGAUUAGAUACCCUGGUAGUCCACGCCGUAAACGGUGGGUACUAGGUGUGGGUUUCCUUCCUUGGGAUCCGUGCCGUAGCUAACGCAUUAAGUACCCCGCCUGGGGAGUACGGCCGCAAGGCUAAAACUCAAAGGAAUUGACGG